GAAACCAGAGUAAAAAUUCACCUGUAACAAGUUCCCUUUUUGCUAGACCAACGAACGUCUCUCCACAUGCUCAGUUCUGAGAGAUAAGGGUGUGUGAAAACCAUUCUUCACCUAGCUUGUUGAGAACUCAAAGUUUCUUUAGGUUGGAAACUACUCUGCAUACAUAUAUAUGGGGUGCUACUAGCAUCAAAUCAAUUUUACAGCAAAAACUGCAGGAUCUUCAAUCCAGAACUAGGAAAGAACAGAGAAACCAGAAUAAUAGUUUCCCUUGCAAGCCGUUCCUUUUGUGUAGAUAAUGAACGUCUGUGUACAUGCUCAGGUCUGAGAGUUCAUUGUGUGUGUAAUCCAACCUUCACUUUUCUUGCUGGGAACACAUAG
Molecule: non-coding RNA, 378 nt
Organism: Vicugna pacos (alpaca)
Lineage: Eukaryota; Metazoa; Chordata; Mammalia; Artiodactyla; Camelidae
Source: RefSeq, a predicted model, not a curated record